AGACGUUUUGAGUCCUGGCGUCAGGAUGAACGCUGGCGGCGUGCUAACACAUGCAAGUCGAGCGAAGCACUUCAUUAGAACUACUUCGGAGGGACGAGGAAGGUCGACGUGAAGCGGCGGACGGGUGAGUAACGCGUGGGCAACCUGCCUUACACAGGGGAUAACAGUUAGAAAUGACUGCUAAUACCGCAUAAGACCACAUUGCCGCAUGGCAGGGUGGUAAAAACUCCGGUGGUGUAAGAUGGGCCCGCGUCUGAUUAGGUAGUUGGCAGGGUAGAGGCCUACCAAGCCUACGAUCAGUAGCCGGCCUGAGAGGGUGGACGGCCACAUUGGGACUGAGACACGGCCCAAACUCCUACGGGAGGCAGCAGUGGGGAAUAUUGCACAAUGGGGGAAACCCUGAUGCAGCGACGCCGCGUGAGUGAGGACGUAUUUCGGUAUGUAAAGCUCCAUCAGCAGGGAAGAAAAUGACGGUACCUGACUAAGAAGCCCCGGCUAACUACGUG
Molecule: ribosomal RNA, 506 nt
Filed under: uncultured Lachnospiraceae bacterium
Lineage: Bacteria; Bacillati; Bacillota; Clostridia; Lachnospirales; Lachnospiraceae
Description: bacterial SSU rRNA
Rfam family: Bacterial small subunit ribosomal RNA
Source: RNAcentral